GCCUGUUUUACAAAAACAUUGUCCUUAGAUGGUGGAUUGGGGGUAAUUUCUGCCCACUGCAAUUUUUGUAAAGGGCUGCAGUAUUUUGACUGUAUAAAGGUAGCAUAAUCAUUAGUUUUUUAAUUGAAGGCUGGUAUGAACGGGGAAACAGGGGGGAUGUGUAUUAUUUAAGGGAGUUGAAUUUUAUUUUUUUGUGAAAAAUCAAAAUUAAAAUUAAAGGACAAGAAGACCCUAUUAAGUUUAAUUGGUAUUUAUAAAAAGCAUAAAGGUAAAAAAUUUUUAGGUGAAGAGAUUAGUGUAAUUUUUGAGUAUAAGUUUAGUUGGGGCGAUGAAUUUGAAACAGUAUUUUGUUUAUUAUUUUUUUGAGGCGUGGUAGAGACCUAGGGGUUCUAGAUGAAUGAAAAAUUACUUUAGGGAUAACAGCGUUAUCACUCUUAAAAGUUCUAAUCGACGGAGUGGUUUGCGACCUCGAUGUUGGAUUAUGAUUAGCGUUGGCGCAGUCGUUGACAAAUUUUGGUCUGUUCGACCAGUAGAAUCAUACGUGAUCUGAGUUCAGACC
RNAcentral lists this ribosomal RNA (559 nucleotides) under Archicladosoma magnum. Its description in RNAcentral is "partial large subunit ribosomal RNA". It matches the Rfam family "Archaeal large subunit ribosomal RNA", at positions 1890 to 2686 of the family's 2987-position model. The record is from RNAcentral. Lineage: Eukaryota; Metazoa; Arthropoda; Diplopoda; Polydesmida; Paradoxosomatidae.